GAUGAACGCUGGCGGCGUGCCUAAUACAUGCAAAUCGAGCGAACGGACGAGAAGCUUGCUUCUCUGAUGUUAGCGGCGGAUGGGUGAGUAACACGUGGAUAACCUACCUAUAAGACUGGGAUAACUUCGGGAAACCGGAGCUAAUACCGGAUAAUAUUUUGAACCGCAUGGUUCAAAAGUGAAAGACGGUCUUGCUGUCACUUAUAGAUGGAUCCGCGCUGCAUUAGCUAGUUGGUAAGGUAACGGCUUACCAAGGCAACGAUGCAUAGCCGACCUGAGAGGGUGAUCGGCCACACUGGAACUGAGACACGGUCCAGACUCCUACGGGAGGCAGCAGUAGGGAAUCUUCCGCAAUGGGCGAAAGCCUGACGGAGCAACGCCGCGUGAGUGAUGAAGGUCUUCGGAUCGUAAAACUCUGUUAUUAGGGAAGAACAUAUGUGUAAGUAACUGUGCACAUCUUGACGGUACCUAAUCAGAAAGCCACGGCUAACUACGUG
This 497-nucleotide ribosomal RNA is filed under the name uncultured bacterium. Its description in RNAcentral is "partial 16S ribosomal RNA". It matches the Rfam family "Bacterial small subunit ribosomal RNA", at positions 28 to 507 of the family's 1533-position model. The record is from RNAcentral.